This 247-nucleotide ribosomal RNA is filed under the name uncultured bacterium. RNAcentral describes it as "partial 16S ribosomal RNA". It matches the Rfam family "Bacterial small subunit ribosomal RNA", at positions 523 to 769 of the family's 1533-position model. The record is from RNAcentral.
AUACGUAGGGGGCGAGCGUUGUCCGGAAUGAUUGGGCGUAAAGGGCGCGUAGGCGGCCCGUUAAGUCUGGAGUGAAAGUCCUGCUUUCAAGGUGGGAAUUGCUUUGGAUACUGAUGGGCUGGAGUGCAGGAGAGGAAAGCGGAAUUACCGGUGUAGCGGUGAAAUGCGUAGAGAUCGGUAGGAACACCAGUGGCGAAGGCGGCUUUCUGGACUGAAACUGACGCUGAGGCGCGAAAGCGUGGGGAGC